RNAcentral lists this ribosomal RNA (253 nucleotides) under uncultured bacterium. Its description in RNAcentral is "partial 16S ribosomal RNA". It matches the Rfam family "Bacterial small subunit ribosomal RNA", at positions 524 to 776 of the family's 1533-position model. The record is from RNAcentral.
UACGUAGGGGGCUAGCGUUGUCCGGAUUUAUUGGGCGUAAAGAGCGUGUAGGCGGCCACUUAAGUCGGAUGUGAAAGCCCCUGGCUCAACUGGGGAAGUGCACCCGAAACUGAAUGGCUUGAGUGCGAAAGAGGGUCGCGGAAUUCCCGGUGUAGAGGUGAAAUUCGUAGAUAUCGGGAGGAACACCGGUGGCGAAGGCGGCGACCUGGGUCGACACUGACGCUGAGGCGCGAAAGCGUGGGGAGCAAACAGG